UAAGAAAGGGGCUAGCGUUGUUCGGAUUUACUGGGCGUAAAGCGCACGUAGGCGGCCUAGCAAGUUGGGGGUGAAAGCCCAGAGCUCAACUCUGGAAUUGCCUUCAAUACUGCUAAGCUGGAGCCGGUGAGAGGCGUGUGGAAUUGCGAGUGUAGAGGUGAAAUUCGUAGAUAUUCGCAGGAACACCAGUGGCGAAGGCGACUCGCUGGGACUUUGCUGACGCUGAGAUGCGAAAGCGUGGGGAGCAAACAGG
Molecule: ribosomal RNA, 253 nt
Filed under: uncultured bacterium
Lineage: Bacteria
Description: partial 16S ribosomal RNA
Rfam family: Bacterial small subunit ribosomal RNA
Source: RNAcentral